GCCUCCGUAGCUCAGGGGAUAGAGCACCGCUCUCCUAAAGCGGGUGUCGCAGGUUCGAAUCCUGCCGGGGGUA
RNAcentral lists this transfer RNA (73 nucleotides) under Rhodococcus pyridinivorans. RNAcentral's name for it is "tRNA-Arg". It matches the Rfam family "tRNA". Rfam says of the family: Transfer RNA (tRNA) molecules are approximately 80 nucleotides in length. Their secondary structure includes four short double-helical elements and three loops (D, anti-codon, and T loops). The record is from RNAcentral. Lineage: Bacteria; Bacillati; Actinomycetota; Actinomycetes; Mycobacteriales; Nocardiaceae.